CCCGACAAGCUCUGCGACCAGGUCUCCGAUGCCAUACUUGAUGCCUGCUUGGAACAGGACCCUGAAAGCAAGGUCGCUUGUGAGACCUGCACCAAGACCAACAUGGUGAUGGUGUUUGGCGAGAUCACCACCAAGGCCCAGGUAAACUACGAGAAGAUUGUUCGUGACACUUGCCGAGGCAUCGGUUUCGUCACCGCCGACGUUGGCCUCGACGCCGACCGCUGCAAGGUCCUUGUUAACAUCGAGGAGCAGAGCCCCGACAUAGCCCAGGGAGUGCACGGGCACCUCACGAAGAAGCCCGAGG
This 304-nucleotide long non-coding RNA is filed under the name Musa acuminata (dwarf banana). RNAcentral describes it as "long non-coding RNA (MACU_LNC006835)". Lineage: Eukaryota; Viridiplantae; Streptophyta; Magnoliopsida; Zingiberales; Musaceae. The record is from RNAcentral.